AGGGUGUAAACGCUGCAGACUUGGUGUUGGAGGCCCUUUGGGGGCAUUCAGUGCCGGAGAGAAGUUGUUAAGUCUGCUACUUGGGGAGUACGUCCGCAAGGAUGAAACUUAAAGGAACUGGCGGGGGAGCACCGCAACGGGAGGAGCGUGCGGUUUAAUUGGAUUCAACACCGUAAAACUCACCAGGGAAGACUGUUACAUGAAGGCCGAGAUGAAGACUCUGCUAGAUUUUCAGAGAGGUGGUGCAUGGCGUCAGUGACUGU
Molecule: ribosomal RNA, 263 nt
Filed under: uncultured archaeon
Lineage: Archaea
Description: partial 16S ribosomal RNA
Rfam family: Archaeal small subunit ribosomal RNA
Source: RNAcentral